Molecule: ribosomal RNA, 490 nt
Filed under: uncultured bacterium
Lineage: Bacteria
Description: partial 16S ribosomal RNA
Rfam family: Bacterial small subunit ribosomal RNA
Source: RNAcentral
AUUGAACGCUGGCGGCAGGCCUAACACAUGCAAGUCGAACGGUAACAGGAAGAAGCUUGCUUCUUUGCUGACGAGUGGCGGACGGGUGAGUAAUGUCUGGGAAACUGCCUGAUGGAGGGGGAUAACUACUGGAAACGGUAGCUAAUACCGCAUAACGUCGCAAGACCAAAGAGGGGGACCUUCGGGCCUCUUGCCAUCGGAUGUGCCCAGAUGGGAUUAGCUAGUAGGUGGGGUAACGGCUCACCUAGGCGACGAUCCCUAGCUGGUCUGAAAGGAUGACCAGCCACACUGGAACUGAGACACGGUCCAGACUCCUAUGGGAGGCAGCAGUGGGGAAUAUUGCACAAUGGGCGCAAGCCUGAUGCAGCCAUGCCGCGUGUAUGAAGAAGGCCUUUGGGUUGUAAAGUACUUUCAGCGGGGAGGAAGGGAGUAAAGUUAAUACCUUUACUCAUUGACGUUACCCGCAGAAGAAGCACCGGCUAACUCCGUG